AUCGUCGUCUCAUGCUUCUAUUCUCUUCUUGGUUAUGUAUCUAAAAUCCCUAAUUCAUUCUCACUCCAGCCCCGUCCUACCCUAGUCUCUUUCGCUUCUCUCUCUCUCUCUUUCAACGGCCGUAACACCGUGUGCAGUACCUCAUAUUCGAGGCACAAAAAAAAAUCAAAAGGUUCUAAUGACUUCUAAUCAUAACGGAACAUCGAAAUGGUGAAGAGAGACAGUUCGAAAAGAGACAAUUCGAAGUCAAGAAGAGAGAACGAUUUGGGUUCUAAUGACUUGUAAAUCAUAAAAGAACACGAAAAUGGUGAAGAAAAGAGAUGAUUGGAAGUCAACAAGAGAGAGAGAGAAGAAAGAGAGGGUUCGAAGAUGGAUUUUGGGCAUUUUGAUCUAGAAGGGUUUCAAUCUCUCUUUGGAAACUUCAACCUGGUUCGGUGGUGACAACAAUCAAUACAAUCUCUUCUUUUCUCUUCUCUUCUCUUCUCUUUGCGUUUCAUUGCUUUUGGUUCAGUUUUGGUUGGUCAUCUUCGACCUGAUUCUGAAACCCUCCAGUCUUCAACCCCUUUCCCAUCACCAAAAAACAAAACCCACUUCAUCUCCAUCGAUUUCAAGCAUACCCAUUUCAAAAAAAUGUUUUCAAAAUCGUCAAAUCAAAUAUAUAUCUCUUGUCCUCCUCUGUUCUGCUUCUGGGCAUUGAAAAGAUCAAUGUUUUCUUCAUUUUGUUUUCAAAAUUAUUGAAUCAGCUAUGAAUCUCUAGUUCUGGGCAUUAAAAAGAUCAAUGUUUUGAUUUCGUUUUGUGUGAUUUUGAACUCAGAUUUGUGUAAAUUGAGUUAUUUUUUUGUUGAUUGAACACAAAACAACUUGUUGUCUGGAGUUUUGAUAAGUUUAUCUCAUUACCUGGAGUUCCUGAACUUCUUACAAGCCCGAGUUAGAGAAUUGAAGAAGACUGAUCAUGCUAAUCAUACCAUAACAGUGCUGCUAGUUGGGAUUCCAAAUGUUGGAAAGUCAGCCCUAGCCAACUCUUUGCAUCAUAUUGGAUGGAUUAGUGCUGCAGAGAAAGGAAAGUUGAAACAUGCAACAGUGAGUCUGCUGCCAGGGGAGACAAAAGAUAUCAGCAGCUUGAAGGUGUGUAAUCUUUCUUUCAUCUAUGCCUAUAUUGCUAGAAUUGUUUAGAUUGGGAAUUAUAGCUAAUGCAUUCCAAAUUCUCUGGUUAUUUCAUCUUCUCUAAAAAAAAAUGGUCAUAAGAGAAGACCUUUGCUAUGCUGAGGUUUUUUAGCAUGUCUCUUUUCUUUCAGCUUCCUUUAUCUGUAUGUGUUUAUCAUGUAAUAGAUGAGGUUUUGCCUCCAAAGAUUCCUGAUGCCGAGGUGCGUUCGAAACUUGCUUUAACAUGUAUGGUUAAUAAAAAAUUCUCUCUUUUAUGAUCUAACUAUGUGAAAAAAAUGUGCUAGAGUUACUCUCUUAAGCCACACAAAUUUCUCUCCCAUUUGGGAUUGGUUAGAUAAUUGAGAUCUUUAGAUUUUUCAGCAAUUAUGCUCCGAUACAUGCUUUAAAUUUGAAAUGCAGGAGUUAUUAAUGACUGUUUAAUUGGGGAAGCAGAACUAGCUCAAUAUUUUUUGGCUAUCCUCAACUUGAGUGAUGAAUACAAGCAAUGGUCAAAAUUGUCUACCACUGCGAGUGAAAAAUUAUCAGAUGACAAAGUCGAAACUUCAGUUAACUCCAAGUUGGACAAGAGACAGAAACAGUAUGCCACAGAUCACACACAGACAUUUUUAGCUGCCUACACUCUACCAUUGCUAAUCCUCUCGAUUGCAGACCUCUUGCAUCAAGGUUUGUGAAAUUGAGAGCAAGAAGAUAGGGUUACUAGUCAUGUAUUACUUAAGGUAAUUGCAAAUGCUUGCAAAGUUCCAACAACAUUUGUUUCAGAAUUGACUGAAUCUGAAGAUCCUGAUGAAUGUGUAAAGCACUUUGAUGAAGAUCAAGAAUUAGAGCAGCUUAUAAGUGGGGAAAUAUGUUUUAUGAAAAUGUUUUGCAGAGACAAAUACUUCUAAUACAGAAAGGAAGAUAAUGUUAUCUGGUUCAUUUAAUCCUUUACAUGAAGGUCACCUAAAGCUUCUUGAAGUUGCUACUAGGAUUGAAGGAACGUGGUAAGAGUUGCAAGCUUAGAUGGGCACCCUCGUCCCUGUGAUAGGAGCAAGUGGGUUUGCUACAGCUACAAUUGCUAUAGGAAUUGUUGCUUGUAAUUUUAAAUAAUCUCUUAAUAAUUUUGAAUAUGUUUAGAAACUUAGAUAUGCAUAAUUUUGGAUGUUUUAAACUUUUUGGAUAGUUUAGAACUUAAGAAUAUAGUUUUCGAAUAUUUUGAAUGUAUAGACAAUUUUUGAAUGUUUAUAAUUUAUGGAUAUAGUUUCUUUUUGA
Non-coding RNA from Camellia sinensis, 2412 nucleotides. Lineage: Eukaryota; Viridiplantae; Streptophyta; Magnoliopsida; Ericales; Theaceae. The record is from RefSeq and is a predicted model, not a curated record.